CAGCUCUGCGGUGUUCUCGGCUGUAGUAGGGCGAACUUGCCAGCAAACUCGCCAUCUCUUUCCCUAGGUUCAAACUCCCGAUGAGGUUCUGCAGCGCUGAUAUCAACCUCACCAGAGGCAUUCGCCGCCUCUCUUCCCCUGCAGUUUACUGCCGUUGCUUCACCUGUGGAACUUCGCCAGAAACGCCGGAAAAGAGAAUAGCCGCUGCAUCUUGGAGACCCUCACCCAUAGUCGCAGUCCCAUGUUUGCCGGUUUUAGUUCCUCCAUUUUAUUCUGGAUCCAACUUUGUGUCAGCAUCAUUUGUUGUAUGGAUUUCAAGCAUAAAUAGCAGAAACUGAUUGGCGUGUAUGAUCAUUGGCCAAUUCUGCUGCCUGGUGAUCACUCGCUUGCCGUCACCUGAAGGACCUAACCUGAGGUUUCACAUGCUUCAUGAACUUUUACUCAAAUGAUCAAAGAAUUGCGGGAGCUAAUGUGGAUAUACAUUUCAUUUCAAAAACUUAGAGGGUGGCUUGCUGUUUGAUGUUAUGAUUAUGAAGCUGCAAUUCACCAAUUUAUCCCUUCUCAGGAGGUAAUUCUUUUGCUUUGACCUGAAGCAGUAGUGAUAGUGAUUACAGGAGGAUAGCAUGGUUUUCUAAUCAGUUAUCCCUUCAAUAUGACUAUUUUAUGUAGAUCAGCAACAUUAUGUCACAUUGCAGGUUUGUGUGUGAUGCAGCUUUCACGUGUUUGGAGCCUUUAGCCUUGCCUGGUCAUGCACGUUUCUUACAGUGUCAGUCCCGCAUUCAUUUCUUGAAGAAGAUGAUGAUUCUGUGAAUAGUUGGUCUUGGUCAUGUCUGUCAAUGGAUGAAGCACGCAGCUCUGUUUGCUUUGGGGUAUUGCUAUCCACCUGCCAUCGGAAGAUGGUGCUGGAGUGUUUGAUGGAGCUAGAAAAGAACAUGCAAGUCAAGUGACUGAUUUUUGUAGCAGAGAUGUUCACGAGGCUAGAAGGAACAACCUUAGUUGAGGCAUUUCUACAUAAAUAUGAAGGUAAAUGAUUAGCUCCCGAUGCCUUAUAUGUAGAUUUUAGAUGCGGAUCAUCCUGAAAACAAAUUCCAAGUGGUCCCUUAGACUUCAGUAGCAUGGUUCUCAGAUACUCAUAUUUAACAACUAUGGUUGCACAUGCAUGACCAUUUUACCGGCUAUUGUAAAUAUAUGAAGAUUAGUUUUAGGGCUUUGACAUGCUUAUCUUAAGUAUCAUGAAUCUCCAGCACAACUUUGGAGGUUUCUGCAGUUCGGUGAUUUAUUUGUGAUGAAUAUAAUACUCCCUCCGGGUCAAAAUAAUUGCUUCUGCACGUCCAAGUGUUGUUUGUGGUGGUACCUAUGUGCUAAAUAAGCCAGAUGGUCAGUUCAGAUCUCCGAGUUUCUUCUUGGAUGCCCUAUUUCACGAUGUUGAAGGGAGAAUGCAUUUGGUUUAUAUUCCAGGUGUCAUCAGCUAUACCAAGCAGCUAGACAAUAUGUAUCCUCCAAACUUGGUUUCUUUCUUUGCAAUGGAACAGGGUGCUUUCCUCUUACUAUUCUGAAAAGCCAUAACUCUGCAUUUAAGAAGUGAUUGUCUUCACGGGCGUAUAGAUGAGUUAGAAUGAUGACUAGCACUCGUAUGUUGAAUAUAGCACUCCCCUUUAUCAGGUGCUUUAGUACAGACUAUUGAUAUAAGAGAAAAGGCAAGUUCUGUGUUUUUUUGUACCCUUUGUGGGUGACAUGACUAACUAUUGUACUCUCUCUGUCUCAAAAAAAAGUUGCUCAACUUUGUGUAGAUACGGAGGUAUAUAGGCAUGUUUUAGUUAUAGAUACAUCUCUAUCUACAAAAAGUUGAGCACUUCUUCUAUUUUGUCACUUCUCUUAGAAAAAAUAUAAAAAUUUAGAAAUUCUGCAGUCUUGAUUUCAAGAUUUGAAGUUAACUAGCUGUCUUGAAGUGAUUCAUCUAAUUUGAACCUUUUUUGCGGGGCAUAUAAUUGGAACCUAAAUUUUGUGUAAAAACUGAAUUUUAUAAAAAAAAAUGCUUAUCUUAGCAGUCCCCUUUGUUUGUAUUAAGAUUUUGAUUCAUAUAAUCGGAACAUAUGAAAAGUUCCACAAUUUUGAGGUGAAUUAGCUAUCGAUAUGCUUUUUGUGAGAACUAUGUCCAUGUGCUCAAGAUGAUAGGAUAUGAAUUUGCUCUAUAAUUUAAGGUUAUAUGUUUUAAAUUCUUUUGGGAGAAGAUGCUACAGCAAUCAUACAAUUCAGGUUUGGAAAGAUUAGGAAUGAAAAUAGAAGGGGCCAUACACAUACAAGAUCAUUCAAAGCUGUGCUGAAUGAAGUCGUAAUUGGAAAGACAUUGAACUGAAAUCAUGUUCUUGUUUAGUUAUGCCAUAGAUUUGUUUGGUCUGAUUGUAGAUGAUGCCCUUUAACUUGGUACUACCUAUUUAGAAGUGUUCACGGGAAGUUUCUUCCCUGCACGCUAUAAGAUUAAAAAAUGAUCAAUUAGUUUACUUGUUUCUUGCUGUCAUUUUAAUUGAGGUGAUGCUUAAAUAAUCUUGGAUUUUUACGAUGGAUAAUGGUUUAUCUACAAAUCUAAUAGUUUGAUAGGCCUCUGCCCAUUAUGAUGAUAGGUUGCCUCAAACGAUUGAAAUUUACAUCAAAUGAGGCAUACAGGAGGCCGUUGGAUGGGUUCCAAUGGUUCAAGUUGUCCUGGCUGCAUUAGGUUUCAUUGUGUUUGGAGGAGGUAGUGUUGAUCCCGGUUCUGGGGAAUUGAUUUGGGCAACUUUUGAAGUUUGGUUCUCAUAUAUUGGUCCUGAAAGAUAUUUUUGUGCAAGUGGCCAAUUGAUGUUACGCUUAUUUGAAAGCCAAGCCUGCAAGUACCCAGUUUUUCAGUGUGCCUGCAACCCAGUUCGACAACAACAAGAGCACAUGGUAUUUGCUCUGUCAGUAUAUCACAAUUUAAUUAUGUUUAUAGGUGUGCUUGCACUGCAAUAAUCAGAGCCGGAAUUAGUGAGUGGGGCUUUCAACAUGAUUCUUUGUUGCAUCUAGCUCCACAAACCACCUUUAUUCAGCUGUGGAACCCUGAGCAAGGUGCAGUUCCCCUCCAAGUUACCCUCCAAGUGUGCAGCGUGUGAUCCACCAUGUUGAGCAAUGCUGCAUUUACUCUGAGCAAUUUUUUUUUUGUAAAAUUAGAGCUUAAAUAAGCUAGCCAGUGGCAGCUAAAUGCCCAGAUAGGUUGAGAUGUUGAUGGAGCUGAUAGGCUUUAUUACUUCAUGGAUUAAUGAUUGCUGGUAUCACUAGGAUAGUAGUUAAUGAAUCUUGAAA
Long non-coding RNA from Lolium rigidum, 3315 nucleotides. RefSeq lists it as uncharacterized. NCBI's taxonomy places the organism in Eukaryota, Viridiplantae, Streptophyta, Magnoliopsida, Poales, Poaceae. The transcript is spliced from 12 exons. The record is from RefSeq and is a predicted model, not a curated record.